RNAcentral lists this ribosomal RNA (451 nucleotides) under uncultured Roseibacillus sp. RNAcentral's name for it is "bacterial SSU rRNA". It matches the Rfam family "Bacterial small subunit ribosomal RNA", at positions 76 to 525 of the family's 1533-position model. The record is from RNAcentral. Lineage: Bacteria; Pseudomonadati; Verrucomicrobiota; Verrucomicrobiia; Verrucomicrobiales; Verrucomicrobiaceae.
UAGCUUGCUAAUGAAAUUCUUAGUGGCGGACGGGUUAGUAACACGUGAGAAUCCUACCCUUGAGUGGGGAAUAGCCUUUCGAAAGGAAGAUUAAUGCCCCAUAGUCUCUACGGAGUAAAGAUGCCUUCGGGUGUCGCUUAAGGAUGGGCUCGCGGCCUAUCAGCUAGUUGGUGAGGUAAGAGCUCACCAAGGCAACGACGGGUAGCUGGUCUGAGAGGACGAUCAGCAACACUGGAACUGAGACACGGUCCAGACACCUACGGGUGGCAGCAGUCGAGAAUCAUUCACAAUGGACGAAAGUCUGAUGGUGCAACGCCGCGUGGAGGAUGACGGCCCUAGGGUUGUAAACUCCUGUCAUCAGGGAGUAAGACUUAUUCGUUAAUAGCGUGUAAGUUUGAUAGUACCUGAAGAGGAAGGGACGGCUAACUUCGUGCCAGCAGCCGCGGUAAUA